AGUGAACGCUGGCGGUAGGCCUAACACAUGCAAGUCGAACGGCAGCACAGUAAGAGCUUGCUCUUACGGGUGGCGAGUGGCGGACGGGUGAGGAAUACAUCGGAAUCUACUUUUUCGUGGGGGAUAACGUAGGGAAACUUACGCUAAUACCGCAUACGACCUACGGGUGAAAGCAGGGGAUCUUCGGACCUUGCGCGAUUGAAUGAGCCGAUGUCGGAUUAGCUAGUUGGCGGGGUAAAGGCCCACCAAGGCGACGAUCCGUAGCUGAUCUGAGAGGAUGAUCAGCCACACUGGAACUGAGACACGGUCCAGACUCCUACGGGAGGCAGCAGUGGGGAAUAUUGGACAAUGGGCGCAAGCCUGAUCCAGCCAUACCGCGUGGGUGAAGAAGGCCUUCGGGUUGUAAAGCCCUUUUGUUGGGAAAGAAAAGCAGCAGGUUAAUACCCCGCUAUUCUGACGGUACCCAAAGAAUAAGCACAGGCGAACUUCGU
Molecule: ribosomal RNA, 491 nt
Filed under: uncultured bacterium
Lineage: Bacteria
Description: partial 16S ribosomal RNA
Rfam family: Bacterial small subunit ribosomal RNA
Source: RNAcentral